GCUGCUAGUGACGUUGUGGAAUGGAUAGUGGUGAACGGUGUAGAGUGAAUUUUCGGACAUGUUUUCAUUCGGUCAUCUCUAAGUCGCUGAUGUGUCAAGAAGGAUGAGAGGGACACGUGAGAGAGCAUUGUUGUUUCGCAUUCUCGUAGUUGGAAAGGAAACAGAUCUCGAUACAAAGCGUCUGACCACCGAGUGAAGCUGAGACAAAUACAUCACCGAUGGCGGACCGGUCAUGAGACUGUUAUACACUGGAGGAGGCUACGAGGACGUGGGGCAACAAUAGUAUCGAGAUCUUCUUCAGAAAGCUGACAGCUGCGGCAGUUCUGCAUGGGCUGUGAGAGCAUCCAUGGCCUCUCGGAUCCUGCUUGCGGCUGCAGUCUGCACAUCUUGGGACGGAGCAGCAGCGCCAGCUGAGGCCUGAGAGAGCUGCUGUCGGAGUCUGGUGUUCAUCUCCAGUAACAGAUGAGAUACAAAGCGUCUGACCACCGAGUGAAGCUGAGACAAAUACAUCACCGAUGGCGGACCGGU
RNAcentral lists this unclassified non-coding RNA (528 nucleotides) under Amphibalanus amphitrite. RNAcentral describes it as "uncharacterized LOC122390544, transcript variant X2". The record is from RNAcentral. Lineage: Eukaryota; Metazoa; Arthropoda; Thecostraca; Balanomorpha; Balanidae.